AGUGAACGCUGGCGGUAGGCCUAACACAUGCAAGUCGAACGGCAGCACAGAGGAGCUUGCUCCUUGGGUGGCGAGUGGCGGACGGGUGAGGAAUACAUCGGAAUCUACUCUGUCGUGGGGGAUAACGUAGGGAAACUUACGCUAAUACCGCAUACGACCUACGGGUGAAAGCAGGGGAUCUUCGGACCUUGCGCGAUUGAAUGAGCCGAUGUCGGAUUAGCUAGUUGGCGGGGUAAAGGCCCACCAAGGCGACGAUCCGUAGCUGGUCUGAGAGGAUGGUCAGCCACACUGGAACUGAGACACGGUCCAGACUCCUACGGGAGGCAGCAGUGGGGAAUAUUGGACAAUGGGCGCAAGCCUGAUCCAGCCAUACCGCGUGGGUGAAGAAGGCCUUCGGGUUGUAAAGCCCUUUUGUUGGGAAAGAAAUCCAGCCGGCUAAUACCUGGUUGGGAUGACGGUACCCAAAGAAUAAGCACCGGCUAACUUCGUGCCAGCAGCCGCGGUAAUACGAAGGGUGCAAGCGUUACUCGGAAUUACUGGGCGUAAAGCGUGCGUAGGUGGUCGUUUAAGUCCGUUGUGAAAGCCCUGGGCUCAACCUGGGAACUGCAGUGGAUACUGGGCGACUAGAGUGUGGUAGAGGGUAGCGGAAUUCCUGG
This 656-nucleotide ribosomal RNA is filed under the name uncultured Stenotrophomonas sp. RNAcentral's name for it is "bacterial SSU rRNA". It matches the Rfam family "Bacterial small subunit ribosomal RNA", at positions 28 to 673 of the family's 1533-position model. Lineage: Bacteria; Pseudomonadati; Pseudomonadota; Gammaproteobacteria; Lysobacterales; Lysobacteraceae. The record is from RNAcentral.